UUGACAGCAGUGGAGAUUGUGGAGAUUGGAAUUUUAUUUAUCCCUAGAGUAGGUGCAGUGCAGACUGCAGUAGUGCAAAAAUUUCCUGUAUUAUUCUGCUGUUGCACCCUGCUCGUGCCCUUCACAGGCAGCCUCUUGGGGCGAGGAGCUCCUCCUCCUCUGCUCCCCUUCAAAAGGCUGGCUGCC
Molecule: unclassified non-coding RNA, 186 nt
Organism: Lepidothrix coronata (blue-crowned manakin)
Lineage: Eukaryota; Metazoa; Chordata; Aves; Passeriformes; Pipridae
Source: Ensembl